NNNNNNGUCCACAGGCCAGCCGAAGAGGCUCCAGCAGCCUGGGACCCCUGGCCCGUCAAGGCCACUGGCUCUUCCCCCGCAGCAUCACCACCCGAACCAGUGAUAACCAGCUCAGGACCCUGGUCUGCCACUGCCGCAGGAGGCAACGGGGGAGGGCUGGCUCCAGCCGCAGGCUCAGGCGAUGCCUGCGAACCCGAGGCGGGGGGGUUUGGAAGCAGUUCAGCACAGCCCGCCUUCAGCACCGGGAAGGACCGGGGCGCCGGUACAGGCACAGCCUGUGAAGCCGCGGCACCGUCCUGCUCCACUGCCAGGGAACAGCCCGGUCUCGCAGGGGGAAAAAGUGGCAGCGUGGGGUCAGCAGAACCCGGCCCGGUGUCUGCAGCACUUGCAGAACCUGCCCCCACGCCACACGAAUCUGGAGUGGGGGGGGCAGCGUGUGGGGCUGCGGCGCGGAGCCCGGGCCCGGCCCGUCCCCCACCGCGGGGUAUGGCACGGCCCAGCUGCAGCAGGGACAUGGGAUAGAGGCGUCCCCCAGAGGCAGCGCCGCCCCCCGUUCAAGCACCCCCACCUCGGUCUGUGCCAGGAGGGCACACGGAGGAGGCGACCCCACCCCGGGUUUCCACCGCCGGGGCGCCGGCUGGGGUGGCGUUACACCCCCCGGGGCCACGGCGCCCCCAACGGCCCGCUGGCAAGGCUCCAAGGCCGCCUCAGGCUUACACCACCGCGGCGCUGGCUGAGGCGGGGUCACGCCCAUCGAUCCCGCGGCGCCCCCAUUCAACCUGCUGGGGGCCCCGGCGAUCCUGGGGGAGCCGACCGUGGGACCCGACCUCAGAAAGCCGCACCUUCCCCAGAUCCCGAGCAGCUGGAGCAGCUGGGGCUCAUAACCGACCAGCAGAGCCUCGAUCAGAGAAUCUCCUACAGCGUCCCAAACUGACUGCGAAAAAAUCGCUUCAACCACAGGGAAAAACCCCUCAGUUCUCCCAUACUCACACAAUUGCUGGAAGUCAGCAUACGAAACAUCAAUCCCCCUCUGAUCAGAC
This 1040-nucleotide long non-coding RNA is filed under the name Parus major (Great Tit). Its description in RNAcentral is "lncRNA (ENSPMJG00000009619.1)". Lineage: Eukaryota; Metazoa; Chordata; Aves; Passeriformes; Paridae. The record is from RNAcentral.